AAUGAACGCUGGCGGCGCGCCUAAUACAUGCAAGUCGAGCGAGAAGACGUAGCAAUACGUUUGUAAAGCGGCGAACGGGUGAGGAAUACAUGGGUAACCUACCCUCGAGUGGGGAAUAACUAGCCGAAAGGUUAGCUAAUACCGCGUACGCUUCUUGGACUUCGGUUCAGGGAGGAAAGCGAUACCGUGGGUAUCGCGCUCUUGGAUGGGCUCAUGUCCUAUCAGCUUGUUGGUGAGGUAACGGCUCACCAAGGCUUCGACGGGUAGCUGGUCUGAGAGGACGAUCAGCCACACUGGCACUGCGACACGGGCCAGACUCCUACGGGAGGCAGCAGUAAGGAAUAUUGCGCAAUGGGCGAAAGCCUGACGCAGCGACGCCGCGUGGGGGAUGAAGGUCUUCGGAUUGUAAACCACUGUCGGGAGGGACGAAUACGCCGC
RNAcentral lists this ribosomal RNA (438 nucleotides) under uncultured bacterium. Its description in RNAcentral is "bacterial SSU rRNA". It matches the Rfam family "Bacterial small subunit ribosomal RNA", at positions 29 to 457 of the family's 1533-position model. The record is from RNAcentral.